GUUGGCUACGUUCGGAAGGGAUAACCGCUGAAAGCAUCUAAGCGGGAAGCCUGCUUCGAGAUGAGGUCUCCCACAGGGUAGCCUGGUAAGGCCCCCGACUAGAUGAUCGGGUUGAUAGGCCGGAGGUGGAAGUGCGGUGACGCAUGGAGCUGACCGGUACUAAUAGGCCGAGGGCUUGUCUUCG
This 184-nucleotide ribosomal RNA is filed under the name Frankia sp. KB5. RNAcentral's name for it is "partial 23S ribosomal RNA". It matches the Rfam family "Bacterial large subunit ribosomal RNA", at positions 2744 to 2925 of the family's 2925-position model. The record is from RNAcentral. Lineage: Bacteria; Bacillati; Actinomycetota; Actinomycetes; Frankiales; Frankiaceae.